This 505-nucleotide ribosomal RNA is filed under the name uncultured bacterium. RNAcentral describes it as "bacterial SSU rRNA". It matches the Rfam family "Bacterial small subunit ribosomal RNA", at positions 24 to 518 of the family's 1533-position model. The record is from RNAcentral.
UCAGAUUGAACGCUGGCGGCAGGCCUAACACAUGCAAGUCGAACGGUAACAGGAAGCAGCUUGCUGCUUGCUGACGAGUGGCGGACGGGUGAGUAAUGUCUGGGAAACUGCCCGAUGGAGGGGGAUAACUACUGGAAACGGUAGCUAAUACCGCAUAAUGUCGCAAGACCAAAGAGGGGGACCUUCGGGCCUCUUGCCAUCGGAUGUGCCCAGAUGGGAUUAGCUUGUUGGUGAGGUAACGGCUCACCAAGGCGACGAUCCCUAGCUGGUCUGAGAGGAUGACCAGCCACACUGGAACUGAGACACGGUCCAGACUCCUACGGGAGGCAGCAGUGGGGAAUAUUGCACAAUGGGCGCAAGCCUGAUGCAGCCAAUGCCGCGUGUAUGAAGAAGGCCUUCGGGUUGUAAAGUACUUUCAGCGGGGAGGAAGGGGUUAAGGUUAAUAACCUUAGCCAUUGACGUUACCCGCAGAAGAAGCACCGGCUAACUCCGUGCCAGCCGCGGC